CUCAGAAGUGUCCACCUCCCUCUUCAUUCACUUCCACAGGCAUCCGGUCCCGUCGGCCCAGUCGUUCCUUAUUCAAACCUCGUCGGGAGAAUCUUUCCUUAUUUUUUUCGCACACAGAAGCAGGUACUAGAGGUAAUCCAGAGUUAAUCCCACAUACUCAGAAGAGGCACAGAACGACAAGCGCCACAUGGUCUCACUCGUGCACAGAAGGGCCACUGUGACUGGGAGAAGCCUGUACACAGGGCUCAACUUUUCAAGUCUGUCAAGCUCAUGAGAAAUGAGGAAGACUGAGAAGCCGCACAGGCCAGACCAUGGGAGGGAGACAGCAGUGGCAAAGUGGUAUCCCAGAACAAGGAAGGAAAGUGGUGGGAACCAGGUAAAGUUUAGUUAA
Molecule: non-coding RNA, 391 nt
Organism: Heterocephalus glaber (naked mole-rat)
Lineage: Eukaryota; Metazoa; Chordata; Mammalia; Rodentia; Bathyergidae
Source: RefSeq, a predicted model, not a curated record